AGAGUUUGAUCCUGGCUCAGGAUGAACGCUGGCGGCGUGCCUAAUGCAUGCAAGUCGAGCGACGCAUACCGGAGGGGUAACCCACUGGUAUGACGGAGCGGCGAACGGGUGAGUAACACGUGAGUAACCUGCCCCACAGACCGGGACAGCCCAGGGAAACCUGGAUUAAUACCGGAUACCCUCGGGGGAUCGCAUGAUCUUUCGAGGAAAUGCCUUUGUGCUGUGGGAUGGACUCGCGACUUAUCAGCUAGUUGGUGGGGUAACGGCCUACCAAGGCGUCGACGAGUAGCUGGUCUGAGAGGACGAUCAGCCACACUGGGACUGAGACACGGCCCAGACUCCUACGGGAGGCAGCAGCAGGGAAUCUUGCGCAAUGGGCGAAAGCCUGACGCAGCAACGCCGCGUGGGGGAUGAAGGCCUUCGGGUUGUAAACCCCUUUCAGGAGGGAAGAAAUUGACGGUACCUCCAAAAGAAGCACCGGCCAACUACGUGCCAGCAGCCGCGGUAAUACGUAGGGUGCGAGCGUUAUCCGGAAUCAUUGGGCGUAAAGAGCUCGUAGGCGGUUCAGCAAGUCGGCUGUGAAAUUUCGAGGCUCAACCUCGAAACUGCAGUCGAAACUGCUGUGACUCGAGUCCGGUAGAGGAGAAUG
RNAcentral lists this ribosomal RNA (649 nucleotides) under uncultured bacterium. Its description in RNAcentral is "bacterial SSU rRNA". It matches the Rfam family "Bacterial small subunit ribosomal RNA", at positions 8 to 663 of the family's 1533-position model. The record is from RNAcentral.